RNAcentral lists this small nucleolar RNA (118 nucleotides) under Echinops telfairi (small Madagascar hedgehog). RNAcentral's name for it is "Small nucleolar RNA SNORA61 (ENSETEG00000024949.1)". The record is from RNAcentral. Lineage: Eukaryota; Metazoa; Chordata; Mammalia; Afrosoricida; Tenrecidae.
ACCCAGAUUCUUUACCCCUUGGAUCUAAAUAUUGGUCUGAGAGGCUAAAGAAAGGAGGAAAAAUAAAAUUGAAGUAGAUUGGAGUCUUUAGUGACAUACAAGUUCAUUUCAAACAUAU